This 65-nucleotide transfer RNA is filed under the name Pteria penguin. RNAcentral describes it as "tRNA-His". The record is from RNAcentral. Lineage: Eukaryota; Metazoa; Mollusca; Bivalvia; Pterioida; Pteriidae.
GGUCUUUUAGUAUAAGAAAUACGUUAAUUUGUGGUAUUAAAGAUGGGGUUCAUUCUCAAGGGCUA